CGACGUGUAAACAGUUAUAAUGCAGAGUGACAAGAGCGGCUGCCGCCGAGGCGAGGGCAGUUCCUUAAAGGAGGAUUUGGUGACCUCUGCUGGGAGAUGAGCCUUCCAGCCUGAACUGAGGCCGCCGGUGCAAGGAGAGGGGAGAUGGACACAGAACUCAGAAAGCUUUCUCAGGAAAACACUGGCUUGAAGAGCACUGGCCUGGGGGUGGGGUGGCUCCCCCUCGGAGGCUCUGGAACAGGCACAGGAAGAUGAGGCAUCCUCCCGUGCUCCCUACCGCUGCACGUUGGAAUCACUGGGAAAGUCUCAAAGCGCAUGAGCAAAUGAAGGCUCCGGGAAGUCCUGCAGUAAAGAAAUCUGGUUUGUUACACUUGGGGUUUCCCAUUAUAUCGACUGAGAAAACCUUUGUCUUGGUGAUUCUUUGUCUUGGGUGGCAGUGGGCUGGCGGCAGCAGCCUGGAGUUCUUCUGUGCCACAUAGUUUGGCCACCCUGUGGGGACACUUCUCCACAA
This is a long non-coding RNA of Phyllostomus hastatus (greater spear-nosed bat), 511 nucleotides long. RefSeq lists it as uncharacterized. The transcript has 4 exons. The record is from RefSeq and is a predicted model, not a curated record. NCBI's taxonomy places the organism in Eukaryota, Metazoa, Chordata, Mammalia, Chiroptera, Phyllostomidae.